AUUGAACGCUGGCGGCAUGCUUUACACAUGCAGGUCGAACGGUAACAGCACUUCGGUGGCUGACGAGUGGCGAACGGGUGAGUAAUACAUCGGAACGUGCCUAGUAGUGGGGGAUAACUACUCGAAAGAGUAGCUAAUACCGCAUGAGAUCUAAGGAUGAAAGCAGGGGACCUUCGGGCCUUGCGCUACUAGAGCGGCUGAUGGCAGAUUAGGUAGUUGGUGGGAUAAAAGCUUACCAAGCCGACGAUCUGUAGCUGGUCUGAGAGGACGACCAGCCACACUGGGACUGAGACACGGCCCAGACUCCUACGGGAGGCAGCAGUGGGGAAUUUUGGACAAUGGGCGCAAGCCUGAUCCAGCAAUGCCGCGUGCAGGAUGAAGGCCUUCGGGUUGUAAACUGCUUUUGUACGGAACGAAAAGCCCUCUUCUAAUACAGGAGGGUCAUGACGGUACCGUAAGAAUAAGCACCGGCUAACUACGUG
This 482-nucleotide ribosomal RNA is filed under the name uncultured bacterium. Its description in RNAcentral is "partial 16S ribosomal RNA". It matches the Rfam family "Bacterial small subunit ribosomal RNA", at positions 30 to 507 of the family's 1533-position model. The record is from RNAcentral.